Molecule: ribosomal RNA, 492 nt
Filed under: uncultured bacterium
Lineage: Bacteria
Description: partial 16S ribosomal RNA
Rfam family: Bacterial small subunit ribosomal RNA
Source: RNAcentral
AGUGAACGCUGGCGGUAGGCCUAACACAUGCAAGUCGAACGGCAGCACAGUAAGAGCUUGCUCUUACGGGUGGCGAGUGGCGGACGGGUGAGGAAUACAUCGGAAUCUACUUUUUCGUGGGGGAUAACGUAGGGAAACUUACGCUAAUACCGCAUACGACCUACGGGUGAAAGUAGGGGAUCUUCGGACCUUGCGCGAUUGAAUGAGCCGAUGUCGGAUUAGCUAGUUGGCGGGGUAAAGGCCCACCAAGGCGACGAUCCGUAGCUGGUCUGAGAGGAUGAUCAGCCACACUGGAACUGAGACACGGUCCAGACUCCUACGGGAGGCAGCAGUGGGGAAUAUUAGACAAUGGGCGCAAGCCUGAUCCAGCCAUACCGCGUGGGUGAAGAAGGCCUUCGGGUUGUAAAGCCCUUUUGUUGGGAAAGAAAAGCAGCAGGUUAAUACCCCGCUGUUCUGACGGUACCCAAAGAAUAAGCACCGGCUAACUUCGUG